This 665-nucleotide small RNA is filed under the name Pongo abelii (Sumatran orangutan). RNAcentral describes it as "processed transcript". Lineage: Eukaryota; Metazoa; Chordata; Mammalia; Primates; Hominidae. The record is from RNAcentral.
UAGAAGACAUCGUGGCCAUAAUGAUUCCUGAGCCAAAAGGGAAGGAGAUAGUAAGCCUGCUGGAAAGAAACAUCACCGUGACGAUGUACAUCACCAUCGGAACCCGGAACUUGCAGAAAUAUGUGAGCCGCACUUCGGUUGUGUUUGUCUCCAUCUCCUUCAUUGUCCUGAUGAUCAUUUCCCUCGCAUGGCUCGUCUUUUAUUACAUCCAGAGGUUUCGAUAUGCAAAUGCCAGGGAUAGGAACCAGCGCCGACUGGGGGAUGCAGCAAAGAAAGCCAUCAGCAAACUCCAGAUCAGGACCAUCAAGAAGGGUGACAAGGAAACAGAGUCCGAUUUUGACAACUGUGCAGUUUGUAUUGAAGGGUACAAGCCCAAUGACGUUGUCCGGAUCCUGCCCUGCCGGCUGACUCAUCCACAGACUUCUUUGCAUCUUCUUGGCAUAAAAACUGUUUCAAAAAAUGUUCCAGUUUAUCAUCUCCCUUCACUCACACUUUCUCUGUGGCCUCAUAACUGCUGACAUUCUUGGUGCAUCUCUUCACUAUUGUUUUCAUUUAGAAUGUCUUUCCAAAUUAUACUCUUGUGCCACAACUUUUUCAAAAUCAUUUUAUCGCUUGUCCCUUUCUGAGACCCACGAACAAAUUAUGAUGAAUUAUUAAUAAAUGCC